ACGCUCGACACCUACGGGGGGCAGCAGUUGGGAAUAUUGGACAAUGGAGGAAACUCUGAUCCAGUGACGCCGCGUGAAGGAAGAAGGUCUUCGGAUUGUAAACUUAUUUUGUCAGGGAAGAAAAAUGACUGUACCUGAAGAAAAAGCACCGGCUAACUACGUGUCAGCAGCCGCAGUAAUCUGAGCGGGCUGGCAAGGC
This 199-nucleotide ribosomal RNA is filed under the name uncultured bacterium. RNAcentral describes it as "partial 16S ribosomal RNA". It matches the Rfam family "Bacterial small subunit ribosomal RNA", at positions 328 to 539 of the family's 1533-position model. The record is from RNAcentral.